UACGUAGGGUGCAAGCGUUAUCCGGAAUUAUUGGGCGUAAAGAGCUCGUAGGCGGUUUGUCGCGUCUGCUGUGAAAACUGGGGACGCUCAACCCUCAGCCUGCAGUGGGUACGGGGCAGACUAGAGUGCGGUAGGGGGAGAUUGGAAUUCCUGGUGUACGGUGGAAGCGCAGAUAUCAGGAGGAACACCGGUGGCGAAGGCGGCCAACUGGGACCAUCACUGACGCUGAGGCGCGAAAGCGUGGGGGGAGCGAACAGGA
Molecule: ribosomal RNA, 259 nt
Filed under: uncultured bacterium
Lineage: Bacteria
Description: partial 16S ribosomal RNA
Rfam family: Bacterial small subunit ribosomal RNA
Source: RNAcentral